AGGGUUUGAUUCUGGCUCAGGACGAACGCUGGCGGUGCGCCUUAUGCAUGCAAGUCGAGCGAAGCUUUUCAGUAGUUUACUACAGAAAAUGACUGAGCGGCGAACGGGUGAGUAACGCGUGAGCAAUCUACCUUAGUUACAGGGAUAGCCCGAGGAAACUCGGAUUAAUACCUGAUAUUCUUUAUUUCUCGCAUGAGAAUAAAAGGAAAGGUCAGCCGAACUAAGAUGAGCUCGCGUUCUAUCAGCUAGUUGGUGAGGUAAAAGCUUACCAAGGCUACGACGGAUAGCUGGUCUGAGAGGACGAUCAGCCACACUGGGACUGAGACACGGCCCAGACUCCUACGGGAGGCUGCAGCAGGGAAUAUUGUGCAAUGAACGAAAGUUUGACACAGCGACACCGCGUGUGGGAUGACGGAUCUAGGUUUGUAAACCACUUUCAGGAGGGAAGAAAAUGACGGUACCUCCACAAGAAGCCCCGGCCAACUACGUGCCAGCCGCCGCGGUAAUAC
Molecule: ribosomal RNA, 509 nt
Filed under: uncultured bacterium
Lineage: Bacteria
Description: bacterial SSU rRNA
Rfam family: Bacterial small subunit ribosomal RNA
Source: RNAcentral